AUUGAACGCUGGCGGCAGGCCUAACACAUGCAAGUCGAGCGGAGCGGAGGACGGGUGAGUAAUACCUAGGAAUCUGCCUGGUAGUGGGGGAGAACGUCCGGAAACGGGCGCUAAUACCACAUACUAUCAGAUUAGCAUAGGUCGGAUUAGCUAGUUGGGGGUGUAAAGGCCUACCAAGGCGACGGUACGUAGCUGGUUUGAGAGGAUGCUCAGUCACACUGGAACUGAUAAACGGCCCAGACUCCUAGGGGAGGCAGCAGGGGGGAAUAUUGGACAAUGGUCGAAAGCCUGCUUCACACAGGCCGCGUUGGUGAAGAAGGCCUUCGGAUUUGAAAGCACUUGAAGUUGGGAGGCGUUACCAACAGAAUAAGCACCGGCUAACUUCGUGCCAGCCGCCGCGGUAAUUC
RNAcentral lists this ribosomal RNA (407 nucleotides) under uncultured bacterium. RNAcentral's name for it is "partial 16S ribosomal RNA". It matches the Rfam family "Bacterial small subunit ribosomal RNA", at positions 30 to 526 of the family's 1533-position model. The record is from RNAcentral.